RNAcentral lists this ribosomal RNA (468 nucleotides) under uncultured bacterium. Its description in RNAcentral is "partial 16S ribosomal RNA". It matches the Rfam family "Bacterial small subunit ribosomal RNA", at positions 28 to 507 of the family's 1533-position model. The record is from RNAcentral.
GACGAACGCUGGCGGCGUGCUUAACACAUGCAAGUCGAACGGAAAGGCCCUGCUUUUGUGGGGUGCUCGAGUGGCGAACGGGUGAGUAACCCGUGAGUCACCUGCCCUUGACUUUGGGAUAACUUCAGGCAACUGGGGCUACUACCGGAUAGGAGCUCCUGCUGCAUGGUGGGGGUUGGAAAGUUUCGGCGGUUGGGGAUGGACUCGCGGCUUAUCAGCUUGUUGGUGGGGUAGUGGCUUACCAAGGCUUUGACGGGUAGCCGGCCUGAGAGGGUGACCGGCCACAUUGGGACUGAGAUACGGCCCAGACUCCUACGGGAGGCAGCAGUGGGGAAUAUUGCACAAUGGGCGGAAGCCUGAUGCAGCAACGCCGCGUGCGGGAUGACGGCCUUCGGGGUGUAAACCGCUUUCGCCUGUGACGAAGCGUGAGUGACGGUAAUGGGUAAAGAAGCACCGGCUAACUACGUG